This is a long non-coding RNA of Xenopus tropicalis (tropical clawed frog), 784 nucleotides long. RefSeq lists it as uncharacterized. The transcript has 2 exons. NCBI's taxonomy places the organism in Eukaryota, Metazoa, Chordata, Amphibia, Anura, Pipidae. The record is from RefSeq and is a predicted model, not a curated record.
GCCUUGGCGGGUUUGUAGUUAGGAAACUAGGCAAAGUUUUUCACUAGUCAACCUUACAUGUCUGUCCCACUGCAUGCUGGGUAAUGUAGUUUGUAUGUACCAAUUAGCCUACAGCUAGGAUUAAUAUAAAACUACAAUACCCAGCAUGCAAUUGGACAGUGGAGACAGAGGCUCCCAUUUCUAUUCUAUUCAGGCUCAACCUGCCAGCUCUACCCCCUGCCCUAUAGGGGGCCAUGUCGGAAGCCGUGUUGGAGCCCGAGUGAGGUCUCCAGGCAGGAAGAUUAGGGGGGACUCAGGCUCAAGGCCACUCCUGGGAGAAUGAGCUGGAGAAUAGGAGGGAUUGUACCGGAAGAGGCAAAGCGGCUUCACAUGACUAAAUAAACGCUCAGAGCUGCUGCACCGGCUGCUAGAUACAGCACUUGGGCCGGGCAAUGAUGCUGUGUAUUGGCUGAACCCUUCACCCACUGCCAUUUAUAUGUCCAAAUUGGAACCUUGUGCUUGUGGCUUGGGAAUGAAGGUUGUAGCUAUAAGUCGGGCUGGAAAUGUACAGAGGGUUCUAGAGCAGCAUAACGGACUCUAUAUAGAGCUGCUGUAAAUAACCGUCGCUAUUGUAUGCUAAUAUUCAAACUACUGACCCUCACAUUCAAACAGUUCAUAACAAUGCCCACCCUGCAUCUGUGAACUUCUCUCUAGAUACCGACCCACUUGUUACCCUUCCCUACUGUCCUGCUACUCAGCUUUUCUCUCAUUCCCUCCUCCAUGAAGAAAUACUAUCAUGAGAAAA